AGCGAACGCUGGCGGCAGGCUUAACACAUGCAAGUCGAACGGGCAUCUUCGGAUGUCAGUGGCAGACGGGUGAGUAACACGUGGGAACGUACCCUUCGGUUCGGAAUCACUCAGGGAGACUUGAGCUAAUACCGGAUACGCCCUUUUGGGGAAAGGUUUACUGCCGCAGGAUCGGCCCGCGUCUGAUUUGCUUGCUGGUGGGGUAACGGCCUACCAAGGCGACGAUCAGUAGCUGGUCUGAGAGGAUGAUCAGCCACACUGGGACUGAGACACGGCCCAGACUCCUACGGGAGGCAGCAGUGGGGAAUAUUGGACAAUGGGCGCAAGCCUGAUCCAGCCAUGCCGCGUGAGUGAUGAAGGCCUUAGGGUUGUAAAGCUCUUUUGUCCGGGACGAUAAUGACGGUACCGGAAGAAUAAGCCCCGGCGAACUUCGU
This 434-nucleotide ribosomal RNA is filed under the name uncultured bacterium. RNAcentral describes it as "partial 16S ribosomal RNA". It matches the Rfam family "Bacterial small subunit ribosomal RNA", at positions 29 to 506 of the family's 1533-position model. The record is from RNAcentral.